Pyrus x bretschneideri (Chinese white pear) is the source of this 1329-nucleotide long non-coding RNA. RefSeq lists it as uncharacterized. The record is from RefSeq and is a predicted model, not a curated record. NCBI's taxonomy places the organism in Eukaryota, Viridiplantae, Streptophyta, Magnoliopsida, Rosales, Rosaceae. The transcript has 4 exons.
CUGAAACGGGAGAAGACCUGAACCAAUUAGUAAUGGUAACACAUGGUUAUCAUAUUAUGCGUCAUAUAGAAUUAAGAGAAAUUCCGGGAAUUAAAGAUUAUAGAGAUAUAGAUAUAGGAUCAAUGGCUAUGGGAAUGUAUCCAUAUCCUCUAUACCCAGCUGAGUCAACAAUUAGAUACACACUAUUUAUGGAUGUACCAAUUGCUAGUGAUAGGUUGUCUGUCGAAAUAUUUAGCAGUUUGAACGAAUGGGCUGUUGAAUACUUCGGGACUCCCGCUAAGUUUACUUUGAUAGAUAAAGAGCGUGCGGCAGAGACCCACCCGUAGUCUCCCAACAACCAUCCUCCCGAUUCAUCUACAGGUCCCCCUCCACCACCCUUCCCACCGCACCAGCCCCACCACCCCACUCUGGCUCCCUCCCCACCUCACCAGACGAACGACCGCCAACCCUGCCCGCCCCUCCGACGAAGAUACACACUAUUUAUGGAUGUACCAAUAGCUAGUGAUAGUUUGUCUGUAGAAAUACUAAGCGGUUUGAAUGGAUGGGCUGCUGGAUAUUUUGGGUCACCUGCUAGGUUUAGUUUGAGAGAUAAAAAGCGUGUGGCGGUGACCCACCCGCAGCCUCCCAACAAUAUCAUCCUCCAAAUUCAUCUACAGGUCCCCCUCCGCCUCUCCCUCCACUAACCUCCCCACCGCACCAGAUCAACGACCGCCAACCCCGCCUGGUCCUACGACGUAGCCCCCGACUUGCUGAACGGUCAGAGAAAACUCAAGUACUGCUUAAGGUUUUAACAGCCAAGUGAGGAGAAGAAGAUAGUCGUGAUACAUCUUACUUGCUAAGAAAAGCCUCACCUUCUAUGGGAAUCAAGUAUACUAAUGUUGAAGAACCAUCAAAUAUCUCACUCAACAAGAGGCAUGUCCAAGCUUUAUCUAGAAGUGAAGGGCACAAACAAAUGAAAGUUACUGAAUCUGAUGCUUGCGUGGGAAGUCGAAAGCUUGAAGGAAGGUUUAGAAGUUUUUGAAAGAAAGACGAAAACAAAGGCAAAAUCUGAGAUAUUUAUAGGGGACCUCUCAAGCAGGGGCGGGUGGAAAUAGGGACCAAGGAGGUCGCAGGACCACCCAAGUUUGGAAAAUAUACAUGUGAAAGUUUUUUGAGGAUCUUUUGAAUAUUUGGUACAGGUCUUUUUUUGUGCUUACUAAAUCUUUGAUGUAAUACAUGCUAGACUUAUCUCGAUAUGUUGUAUCGACAACAUGUGACAAAUUUUCUCUAUAUUACUCAUCAAAAUGUUUUUUAGACAACUAUCCAUUCUCAAGUGAAACACCCUUUCAG